This 497-nucleotide ribosomal RNA is filed under the name uncultured bacterium. Its description in RNAcentral is "partial 16S ribosomal RNA". It matches the Rfam family "Bacterial small subunit ribosomal RNA", at positions 28 to 507 of the family's 1533-position model. The record is from RNAcentral.
GAUGAACGCUGGCGGCGUGCCUAAUACAUGCAAGUCGAGCGAACAGACGUGGAGCUUGCUCCUCUGACGUUAGCGGCGGACGGGUGAGUAACACGUGGAUAACCUACCUAUAAGACUGGGAUAACUUCGGGAAACCGGAGCUAAUACCGGAUAAUAUAUUGAACCGCAUGGUUCAAUAGUGAAAGACGGUUUUGCUGUCACUUAUAGAUGGAUCCGCGCCGCAUUAGCUAGUUGGUAAGGUAACGGCUUACCAAGGCGACGAUGCGUAGCCGACCUGAGAGGGUGAUCGGCCACACUGGAACUGAGACACGGUCCAGACUCCUACGGGAGGCAGCAGUAGGGAAUCUUCCGCAAUGGGCGAAAGCCUGACGGAGCAACGCCGCGUGAGUGAUGAAGGUCUUCGGAUCGUAAAACUCUGUUAUUAGGGAAGAACAAAUGUGUAAGUAACUAUGCACGUCUUGACGGUACCUAAUCAGAAAGCCACGGCUAACUACGUG